RNAcentral lists this ribosomal RNA (253 nucleotides) under uncultured bacterium. RNAcentral's name for it is "partial 16S ribosomal RNA". It matches the Rfam family "Bacterial small subunit ribosomal RNA", at positions 524 to 776 of the family's 1533-position model. The record is from RNAcentral.
UACAGAGGUCCCAAGCGUUGUUCGGAUUCAUUGGGCGUAAAGGGUGCGUAGGCGGCGUGGUAAGUCGGGUGUGAAAUCUCGGAGCUUAACUCCGAAACUGCAUUCGAUACUGCCGUGCUUGAGGACUGGAGAGGAGACUGGAAUUUACGGUGUAGCGGUGAAAUGCGUAGAUAUCGUAAGGAAGACCAGUGGCGAAGGCGGGUCUCUGGACAGUUCCUGACGCUGAGGCACGAAGGCCAGGGGAGCAAACGGG